Long non-coding RNA from Nerophis lumbriciformis (worm pipefish), 1396 nucleotides. RefSeq lists it as uncharacterized. The record is from RefSeq and is a predicted model, not a curated record. Lineage: Eukaryota; Metazoa; Chordata; Actinopteri; Syngnathiformes; Syngnathidae.
UUUCAGCUCCUGCUCUGCUUUCAAGCGGUCGCAUUCGAAUUCUCUCUUCUAAAAGACCUCGUUUUUUGUUGGUAACUGCUAAACGACAUGUUAGUCCCACGCUACAAUUCCAUGUUGGAGUUAAACGGUCAAGUUUGGUGUCGAAAUGUGAACAAUAUUGUGGCUACAAUGGAAGCUUGGCGACCAGCAGCCACGUGGACUCAAGCAAGGCGCACGUGCCAGAAUUCACUCGGCCAGGACGCCAUUGAAGCUGAAGAUUGGAGGUCAUGAGACACGGCGUUUGGGACGUGACAUAAAUGGUUUGGAGGUGUGCUGCUCAAGUUUCCAGAGCCUGGUCCAUGAUGGUGAGGUUCUGACCCAGCUGGGAGCACACUGAGGUUUCAUGAAGACCUGUCAUCUUCUACAUGUUCAUUGAAAUGCUGCAUGUUUAAGAUUGUCCACUGAGGGCUUCAGAGGUGGAACGUGACCAAAGUCUGGGCUUCCCUACAGAAAGGAUGGAUGGCUUCAGGAUGACCUUUCAUGUUAGUCAGGUUUCCUAAAGACCUGCCAUCUUCUACACGUUCAUUGAAAUGAUGCAUGUCUAAGAUUGUCCACUGAGGGCUUCAGAGGUGGAACGUGACCAAAGUCUGGGCUUCCCUACCGAAAGGAUGGAUGGCUUCAGGAUGACCUUUCAUGUUAGUCAGGUUUCCUAAAGACCUGCCAUCUUCUACAUGUUCAUUGAAAUGAUGCAUGUCUAAGAUUUUCCACUGAGGGCUUCAGAGGUGGAACGUGACCAAAGUCUGGGCUUCCCUACAGAAAGGAUGGAUGGCUUCAGGAUGACCUUUCAUGUUAGUCAGGUUUCAUGAAGACCUGCCAUCUUCUACACGUUCAUUGAAAUGCUGCAUGUCUAAGAUUGUCCACUGAGGGCUUCGGAGGUGGAACGUGACCAAAGUCUGGGCUUCCCUACAGAAAGGAUGGAUGGCUUCAGGAUGACCUUUCAUGUUAGUCAGGUUUCAUGAAGACCUGCCAUCUUCUACACGUUCAUUGAAAUGAUGCAUGUUUAAGAUUGUCCACUGAGGGCUUCAGAGGUGGAACGUGACCAAAGUCUGGGCUUCCCUACAGAAAGGAUGGAUGGCUUCAGGAUGACCUUUCAUGUUAGUCAGGUUUCAUGAAGACCUGCCAUCUUCUACACGUUCAUUGAAAUGAUGCAUGUCUAAGAUUGUCCACUGAGGGCUUCAGAGGUGGAACGUGACCAAAGUCUGGGCUUCCCUACAGAAAGGAUGGAUGGCUUCAGGAUGACCUUUCGUGUUAGUCAGGAUGUGGAACAUGGUCGGCCUUUUGAUGAGGAAGGAAAUGAUUCAAGGAGCAGCUUUUUUGUGUAUAAAUGUUUCAAAUAAAUUAAACAACUUUUAAUUUA